This 70-nucleotide small RNA is filed under the name Listeria monocytogenes serotype 4b str. LL195. RNAcentral describes it as "mraW RNA". The record is from RNAcentral. Lineage: Bacteria; Bacillati; Bacillota; Bacilli; Caryophanales; Listeriaceae.
GUAUGUAUAAAUAAAAAAGAGCCAUUCUGUUCGCGAACAGAAUGGCUCUUUUUUGUUAACUUUCAUGGGU